RNAcentral lists this small nucleolar RNA (138 nucleotides) under Ornithorhynchus anatinus (platypus). The record is from RNAcentral. Lineage: Eukaryota; Metazoa; Chordata; Mammalia; Monotremata; Ornithorhynchidae.
UCCCUAUCAGGGUCGCACCUGGAGAGUUUUCAGUAUUCUUGCAGUCUCGUCUAUGGGAGGGAGAGCCAAGCAGAGGCCUGUCCAUUCCAUUCCUAGCUUGGUCAAUGGCUAGCGAGUGGAAGGUCAUCUGCUACAAGU